CUCCCCCCGCCCGCCCUUCCGUCAGGAGUGGACGUCCCUGCGGGCUGCCUGAACAAAUGGCGGCGCUCGACAGUUAGCUGUUAAGAAAGCUUACAUGAUUUUCAAAGCUGAAAAUAUUUUCAAAGCAGUACAUGCAUAAAUAAAGCACUUAAGUAACUUCUUCUGUCCCCCCGGUAGCAGCUUGCAUGGGAGAAGAAGUUAAAAGGACGGGACCAGGAAUCAGCAGCCCCCUGUGAUUGUUAGAAUGGAGGGCCUUGAAUAAAUACUAUCAGGAGAGUGUAAGGAAGUGAGAACCUGCAAUGAAAAGUUCUUUGUAUAUGAGCCAUAAUUAUGAGAUUGUUGAAAGUGCAGAAAGUGAGGCACCAAGAGAAGGUAGAUCCUCCACAGGUGUGUG
This 394-nucleotide long non-coding RNA is filed under the name Taeniopygia guttata (zebra finch). Its description in RNAcentral is "lncRNA (ENSTGUG00000023796.1)". Lineage: Eukaryota; Metazoa; Chordata; Aves; Passeriformes; Estrildidae. The record is from RNAcentral.